RNAcentral lists this long non-coding RNA (724 nucleotides) under Homo sapiens (human). RNAcentral's name for it is "non-protein coding LINC00472:63". Lineage: Eukaryota; Metazoa; Chordata; Mammalia; Primates; Hominidae. The record is from RNAcentral.
GACUUUCUCGACUCGUCGUCAGCCGGGGCCGCAGCGCGGCCGGUGGGGACUGCGGGGCGGGCCGGAGUCCGUCCGAGGGCUCCCGCACCUCGGGCUGCGGGAACAUUAAAAUCUCCCCAGAUGCUCACUGCUCUGAUCAUUUCCCCUACAGCACCAGACAUGUUGGCAUCAUCUCUUAGUUGGGCCAUGUGGCCAGGGAACCCUUCAUGAAACCACCUCUGCAGUCCUGGAGAGUUGCUGUAGAAGAAGGAAAAGAGAGGAAGACAACACAACACAGGAGGGGAUAAGUACCUCUGGACACAAUGGAAGUAGUAGUUGUUGAGCAGAGGGAAAGGGAUAGGAGAAGGAUGUGGACUGCAGUGCUGCAGUGCCAGUGGACAUGAGAGAAAGAUCCCAUAGCCCUCUUGGUCUUGGUUGGAACAGGAGGAAAAUGAAAACUGGACAUCCAUCUUAGGACUUAAUCCUACGGAGACCACAAGCUGGAAGAGGCACUCAAUACUAGCAUGGCUUCUGUGGCAUUUUGAUGAGUAGUAUGGGCUCCACACUGAAAUAUUAAUAUCUUAUUGUUUUGAUGAUGAUGAUGAUGUUCAUUGGCCCAGGGCAAAAGGUAAAGGUUGUGUUAUAAAGCUGAUCUAUUCAAUAUCUGUGGAUGUUAACUCCACCCCAUCCCCUUAUUGAACAAUUACGAUGCCUAUAAAUAUUGUAUUGAGAAAGAAAAAAAAAA